Molecule: ribosomal RNA, 124 nt
Filed under: uncultured Bacillota bacterium
Lineage: Bacteria; Bacillati; Bacillota
Description: uncultured Firmicutes bacterium partial 16S ribosomal RNA
Rfam family: Bacterial small subunit ribosomal RNA
Source: RNAcentral
UCCUUCGGGGGGCCGCCGUCGAGAAUAUUGCGCAAAGGAGGAAACUCUGACGCAGUGACGCCGCGUGCAGGAAGAAGGUUUUCGGAUUGUAAACUGCUUUGACAGGGAAGAAACAAGACAGACC